UACGGGGGGAGCAAGCGUUGUUCGGAUUUACUGGGCGUAAAGGGCGCGUAGGCGGCCAGCACAAGUCAGUUGUGAAAUCUCCGAGCUUAACUCGGAAAGGUCAACUGAUACUGUGCGGCUAGAGUGCGGAAGGGGCAACUGGAAUUCUUGGUGUAGCGGUGAAAUGCGUAGAUAUCAAGAGGAACACCUGCGGCGAAGGCGGGUUGCUGGGCCGACACUGACGCUGAGGCGCGAAAGCGUGGGGAGCAAACAGG
Molecule: ribosomal RNA, 254 nt
Filed under: uncultured bacterium
Lineage: Bacteria
Description: partial 16S ribosomal RNA
Rfam family: Bacterial small subunit ribosomal RNA
Source: RNAcentral